RNAcentral lists this ribosomal RNA (265 nucleotides) under uncultured prokaryote. RNAcentral's name for it is "partial 16S ribosomal RNA". It matches the Rfam family "Bacterial small subunit ribosomal RNA", at positions 524 to 788 of the family's 1533-position model. The record is from RNAcentral.
UACGUAGGGUGCGAGCGUUAAUCGGAAUUACUGGGCGUAAAGCGUGCGCAGGCGGUUUGCUAAGACAGGUGUGAAAUCCCCGGGCUUAACCUGGGAACUGCGCUUGUGACUGGCAGGCUAGAGUACGGCAGAGGGGGGUGGAAUUCCUGGUGUAGCAGUGAAAUGCGUAGAUAUCAGGAGGAACACCGAUGGCGAAGGCAGCCCCCUGGGCCUGUACUGACGCUCAUGCACGAAAGCGUGGGGAGCAAACAGGAUUAGAUACCCU